Mus musculus (house mouse) is the source of this 2047-nucleotide long non-coding RNA. RefSeq annotates it as predicted gene, 41945. The record is from RefSeq and is a predicted model, not a curated record. The transcript has 5 exons. NCBI's taxonomy places the organism in Eukaryota, Metazoa, Chordata, Mammalia, Rodentia, Muridae.
UCUAGCUCCUCCAUUGGGGGCCCUGUGUUCCAUCCUAUAGAUGACUGUGAGCAUCCACUUCUGUAUUUGGCAGGCACUGGCAAAGAAAGGCAUUUCUUGUUACAGUGUGAUAGGCCUUGCUUUUCAGUGACAAUCCAAACAUAUUGUCCUGUUUCCCCUCCACGUUUCUCUCCCUCCCUGUGAUGAAUUCCUCUUCCAUCCAUCUGCAUAAGCUUUGAAGCACACAUCUUUUGGGUGAGAAGGGAAUGCGAUCAUUUCAAUAUCCAGUAGAGAGGGCAGUAGGUUUUGAACUACACUGUCCAUUGCCAAGAAAUCUGGGGUGAUGUGAAGAUCCCCCCUCUGAUUAUUACAGAGUUGUCAGCUUCCCUAAUCAUAGGUCUCAAAUGAGCUCCCAAAGGACACCAGAGGCUCUAAAAUUCUGUGUGGACCUUGAUAGUGACCCAUGUUCUAGUUCAAGCCUCAGAGAUUCUAAAUCUGUGUACCCAAGAUGGAACGCCAGUCUGUCCCUCAAUUUGUUGUUCCCUUUAAAUCAAAUUCAAGCUGACCCCCAUGAGAUUAAAAAAGGAAAACCCUACCUUCAUUUUCUGUAUUCACAGGGAUAUACAUACAUGUGUUCAGGUGUACAUACCUGUGUGGGUGAGUUUUUAAUGUGUGUGUAGGGGCCAGAAGGCAACCAUGCUGACACUCCUUAGGCAAUGUCUACAUUGUUGUCAGUGGUCUAGUUUUGAGACUGAGUCUCUCAGUGGCCUGGAACUUGCCAAGUAAGUUAAGCUGGUUGGCUGGCCAGUGAUCCCCAGGAAGCUGCCUGCAUCUGCCCCCCCCCCCAACUCCCAAGCACUAGGAUAACUACAGCGUACCAUCAGACUGGGAUCGAAUGUGGGUUCUCAGGUCUGUGGCAAUUACUUUACUAAAUUAGCCAUCUUUGAAGUCCUGACUUGAUUCAUAAGGGUUUCAAGAGCAGGAUUUGAUACUUCUUAAAUAUGAUUGGGAUUUGAUAUUGAGAAACCGUUGUUUACUAUUACAACUACAGAGAAAUAACACAUUAAUGUCAGUCCCAUGAGGCUCAGCAAGAAAAGUCACUCUAUGGCCGGGAGUGAGGUGUGGAGGGGUGGGGUUGUUGUCAGAUGUUCGCAGCCUAGACUCUGAGCCUUGCCUCUGCCACUUUAGGUGAGGUCAUUGUACUGCUGGGGUUUCAGCUUCCUCAAUGGAACUGGUGAUAUUCUAACCUGUCUGUCAGGCAGUGCCAGCCUGAGGAACCCUGCUGCUCUGGAGUAGAAAGAUGAACCCUGGGGUUGACGAGAUGGUUCAGCCAAUAAAAUGCUUGCUGCACAAGCGUGGGGACCUGAGUUUGGUUCUCAGAGCCCAGAAAAAACCCCGAACGUGGUGGUAUAUACCUGCCAUCCCUUGCUGGGGAGCUCUCAGGAUCUGAACACCUGGUGCUUUCUUCAUGUUCUUCAGCUUCUGAGGGCACUGGCUUCUACAACCUUCUGGAACCAUCUUCUGGAUCUUUCUAGUUGUCUCUGAUUUUCCAAACUGAAUUAAUCACCAGCCCCCUCCGGGAACCUGAUGCAGCAGGUCACACCCUCCUCUGCGGAUUCUAAUCCAUCUGUACCCAUCAGGAAAGUCCCAUCUACCUAGAGACUUCGGGACGGAAAAUCUCCAGGAUCAGCCAUGGCAGUGGAGUAUCGUGGAGGAUCUUUCAACAAACACACAUGCAUGCUCAUGCAUGUGUGCAUAGGUAUAGGUAUACGUGAGUGCACACACACACACACACAUACACUCACACAAGCUCAUUCUUCUUGGGUGUUGUUUUGACCACAUGGGUUCUCUGAGAUCAUAGUUAACAGGAGAGGGACAAACAGCAUCAAACACAAACACCACACACAGGGACCUUGAAUCUUUAUGACAUCACAGCCGUUGAGUUCUUUCACAGAGCCCCUCUACAGAUGGAAUUCCCAUAAUGUGAACCAAUAAAGCCCCCUCCUCGUUUAUGCCAGUGUUUAGGAGGUUCUAAACAAUUUCAAACCAAAAUUUCCUAUAAACCAGA